GACGGUCGGACACUUUUGUCUCGUGGUACACGGCGUGUGAGCGUCAGGAUGUUCGCGUUAGUGCGAUUCUUGAACAGUUUUGAUAAGAAAGAGUAUAUAAUACCUGCCAAUAACAUUAAGGACUUUUACCCAGAAAGCAAGGAGGACUUCAUUAAAAGUAAAGUCUACAGGACAGAGUGGGUUGAUCAUGAAGACCCGGAAAACACAGGAUCGUACACGUGUAGAAUUCUGCUGCUGGCAGACUCGGAACGAGAGCUACAUAAACAAAGGGGCAGCAAGCGCCUUCCACGGCCUCUGAUACACCAGUCAGAUAUUGACCAAGAGGAAGAGCUCAUUGACCUGCAGCUGUCAGCAGUAAACACCAAGCAGACUGCAAAACAGGCACACAAAAAAAUGAAACAGGAUCAGGCAGCAUCAAGAAGUCUGUUUAUGAGGAAAUUUUGAGCAAGCAUGCCUCUCGUGCCCUUGAAAAAAAUAAAGCCGCCCGAGCUUUGCAAACACCCUCAAACAGGCGUGUGGAGUUCAAUGAAGACACCACAAACAAAGAACGCAAACACAAGCAAAUGAGGAAAGAGACUUGACAGGAACCUUAUGAGAGUGUGCUGAAAGAGCGCAAUGAACUGCGACAAGCGGUUGCCAAAAUCAAUGAAAGAAUUGAUCGAAUAGACGUGAAGCUUUCAAUGAUUGUAGAAAUGCUACAGGCGAGAAGUGCCCCUCAGCCUCAAAAGGCACAAAAAAGUGCCCCGCUUCUCGAGCAAGCACAACAGUCCCCUACAGAUCUGUGGGAGGAUGGCCAAGACCUUAAUGGUUUGGAUUACGAAGUUGAACCGUCACACACAGCCCCCACACCACCACCAGCAGCACACAUGGACACUACAUCCAAGCCUGCUGCAGACGCACUCCCCUCAGGUAGAAGCCCAAACGCUUUAAAUGCCAUUAUGUUGCUAUUAUUUUGCUGUAAACAUCAACUUCACUCCUUAUUUCUCAUCAGCUGCAGACUCAAAAGCCCACACUCCUUUUACUGACAUUGGUGAUGGCAAGGUAAGUGCACGACUGUGUUCCCUUCAUUUCUUUUUUAAAGAUUUUGUUUUCAUUUACAGUAUCACGUGAAAGACGGCCUCAUGAUUGG
Molecule: long non-coding RNA, 1129 nt
Organism: Rhipicephalus sanguineus (brown dog tick)
Lineage: Eukaryota; Metazoa; Arthropoda; Arachnida; Ixodida; Ixodidae
Exons: 6
Source: RefSeq, a predicted model, not a curated record